This 88-nucleotide transfer RNA is filed under the name Paeniglutamicibacter antarcticus. RNAcentral describes it as "tRNA-Ser". It matches the Rfam family "tRNA". Rfam says of the family: Transfer RNA (tRNA) molecules are approximately 80 nucleotides in length. Their secondary structure includes four short double-helical elements and three loops (D, anti-codon, and T loops). The record is from RNAcentral. RNAcentral also lists the same sequence under 1 other name. Lineage: Bacteria; Bacillati; Actinomycetota; Actinomycetes; Micrococcales; Micrococcaceae.
GGUGACGUGUCCGAGCGGCCGAAGGUGCAACACUCGAAAUGUUGUGUACGGAAACGUACCGUGGGUUCAAAUCCCACCGUCACCGCCA